Molecule: non-coding RNA, 73 nt
Organism: Pangasianodon gigas (Mekong giant catfish)
Lineage: Eukaryota; Metazoa; Chordata; Actinopteri; Siluriformes; Pangasiidae
Source: the annotation of a GenBank genome assembly
GCCCAGCUACCUCAGUUGGUAGAGCAUGGGACUCGUGAUCUCAGAGUUGUAGGUUUGAGCCCCAUGCAGGGUG